GGCCCAGACUCCUACGGGAGGCAGCAGUGAGGAAUAUUGGUCAAUGGGCGCAAGCCUGAACCAGCCAAGUCGCGUGAGGGAUGACGGUCCUAUGGAUUGUAAACCUCUUUUGUCGGGGAGCAAGGCCCGCCACGUGUGGCGGGAAGGAGAGUACCCGAAGAAAAAGCAUCGGCUAACUCCGUGCCAGCAGCCGCGGGAAUACGGAGGAUGCGAGCGUUAUCCGGAUUUAUUGGGUUUAGAGGGUGCGUAGGCGGAAUAUCAAGUCAGCGGUAAAAAUUCGGGGCUCAACCCCGUCGUGCCGUUGAAACUGAUGUUCUUGAGUGGGCGAGAAGUAUGCGGAAUGCGUGGUGUAGCGGUGAAAUGCAUAGAUAUCACGCAGAACUCCGAUUGCGAAGGCAGCAUACCGGCGCCCAACUGACGCUGAAGCACGAAAGCGUGGGUAUCGAACAGGAUUAGAUACCCCCGUA
This 467-nucleotide ribosomal RNA is filed under the name uncultured bacterium. Its description in RNAcentral is "bacterial SSU rRNA". It matches the Rfam family "Bacterial small subunit ribosomal RNA", at positions 328 to 792 of the family's 1533-position model. The record is from RNAcentral.